ACGCUAGCUACAGGCUUAACACAUGCAAGUCGAGGGGCAGCAUGUUGGUUGCUUGCAACCAAUGAUGGCGACCGGCGCACGGGUGAGUAACGCGUAUCCAACCUACCCAAUACUCAGGCAUAACCCGUUGAAAGACGGACUAAUUCCUGAUGGUAUGUAUUUUUCUCAUGAUUUAUACAUUAAAGAAUUUCGGUAUUGGAUGGGGAUGCGUCUGAUUAGUUUGUUGGUGAGGUAACGGCUCACCAAGACUUCGAUCAGUAGGGGUUCUGAGAGGAAGGUCCCCCACAUUGGAACUGAGACACGGUCCAAACUCCUACGGGAGGCAGCAGUGAGGAAUAUUGGUCAAUGGAUGAAAAUCUGAACCAGCCAAGUAGCGUGCAGGAUGACGGCCCUAUGGGUUGUAAACUGCUUUUAUGUGAGAAUAAAGUUAGGUAUGUAUACUUAUUUGCAUGUAUCACAUGAAUAAGGACCGGCUAAUUCCGUGCCAGCAGCCGCGGUAAUACGGAAGGUCCAGGCGUUAUCCGGAUUUAUUGGGUUUAAAGGGUGCGUAGGCCGUUUGAUAAGCGUGCUGUGAAAUAUAGUGGCUCAACCUCUAUCGUGCAGCGCGAACUGUUGAACUUGAGUGCGUAGUAGGUAGGCGGAAUUCGUGGUGUAGCGGUGAAAUGCUUAGAUAUCACGAAGAACUCCGAUUGCGAAGGCAGCUUACCGUAACGUUACUGACGCUUAAGCACGAAGGUGCGGGUAUCGAACAGGAUUAGAUACCCUGGUAGUCCGCACAGUAAACGAUGGAUGCUCGCUGUUGGCCUUUGGUGGUCAGUGGCUUAGCGAAAGCGUUAAGCAUCCCACCUGGGGAGUACGCCGGCAACGGUGAAACUCAAAGGAAUUGACGGGGGCCCGCACAAGCGGAGGAA
Molecule: ribosomal RNA, 911 nt
Filed under: uncultured bacterium
Lineage: Bacteria
Description: bacterial SSU rRNA
Rfam family: Bacterial small subunit ribosomal RNA
Source: RNAcentral